Molecule: long non-coding RNA, 3521 nt
Organism: Papaver somniferum (opium poppy)
Lineage: Eukaryota; Viridiplantae; Streptophyta; Magnoliopsida; Ranunculales; Papaveraceae
Exons: 5
Source: RefSeq, a predicted model, not a curated record
UUAAAUGGAAUCUAAUCUAAACGACAGAAUUGGCACAACAAUCACCUUCUCAAAAUCCAUUGUCCUUGAAAUCACAUUGAGCAUCAGCAUCUAAAGGUUCAUUCUUAGCUAGCUAAUUGAGUUGAGGCAGCUGCUAAGAACUUCUUCGCGCAAUAGCUGACUCCAUUCGAAGUUGGGCUUCACAUAAUCUGCAUCUGAAGGUAUCUGGAAGUGUGGUGCUUAACAAUCUUCAAAUUCUGCAGUAGUACAUCUGUAACAUCUCACAGGCCAAAGACACAUAGGUUUGGUGCGCCCAGUAAAAGACCCACCCAAGGUAAUUGAAGCUGGAAUUCAAAUUCAAAUUCAAAUUUACUGUCUGUAAUUUGUGACCAAGUGUUAAUAUUUAAAAAUACAACAACAACUAGCACAAUCCGCAUGACCAAAAAGAAGCCAACAAAAGGAAGACACAUGUCCAAAUUUUUGAAAUUCAAAAAUUGGCGGGAAAAUUCGUACAGGUAGUAACAUUUGACUUUGACCAUUCUUUUAAUAAUAAUAACCUUACUUUACUCUUUUUCUUCUCUGGUUGUCUUUGUUUUGCAGGAGAGAUAGAUAGAUAGAAUAGAUGAAGCUCAUGGAAACUCUGAUUAUUUUGAAUCUUAGGGGUUGCUGCUGGAGAGGAAGGAACUUGGAAGCCAUGAUAUAGCAAACCCCCCUUAGAUCUAGCUACUUUCAGAUUUUGAAAAAAGGCACUUCACCUAUCAAAAAAAAAAUGGCACUUAGUUCACAAUUGGGUGCUGAUGUUAACCAUUAAGCACAUGGUAGACCACCACUCAGUUUUAUCGAAUUAAUAGGUGCACUGCUCAGUUUCGGAAACUGAACGGUGCAACGGCAGGCCACCAUUUCGUUCCGUAGAAUGAGUGUGCACUGCUCAGUCCCGGGUACUGAGCGGUGCAAUGGCAGGUCACCGUCAGUUCCUAAAACUGAGAGGUGCAAAGCUAUGUGUCUAAUGGAGAACGUCACACUUAAUGGAAGUGAGCAGCUUCCGGACAAAUGAAACUAUUGGAAAACAGGUAAAUGAGCUUCUCUUUUCCUCCUUUUUUUUGUUUUUGUUUUUUUUAUUUGUCGUUUUUCUUUCGUAUUUUAUUGAAAUCACUGUUGGAAGUCUGGUACACAGCAAGGCAGUGAUACUCCCCAUGUAGUUCAGCUACAGCUGCUGAAACAUAGCUAAGUCUGAUUCUUGGGUAACGUUUCAACGUAAAUAGCCAUGUUUAGCUUUUGUUAUAUUGCUGACUUUGGUACUCUGCUAGUAUAUUUAGGUGCACAUUCUUAACACUCUCAAUGUAUACUUAAAUUGCCCUUAUAUUUGUAGAAUCCCUGAGUGUCUUUUUUGCUUGGUACAUGUCUAUCAUUUUUGUUCAAGGUUUCUGCCCCUUCUUCCGAUGAGUGUCAGGUCGGUACAUUUUUGCCUUAACAAAGAUAUUUGUUACUAACUUGUGUGUUGCUUUUGUUUUUUGCAGGUCUUGCCUUUGCAUUCCUAACUCUAACUCUAUGUUUAUUAACACUUACAAUCAUGUUUAUUAUGUUUUGCAUAAAAUUGUUUCUAACUUGAUCAUUGGAGUAUCUGUUUUUUUUUUGCAGGUCUCGCAUUUGUAUUCCUAACUCUAACUCCAUGUUUAUUAACCCUAACUCUACUUUUAUUAUGUUUUGCAUAAAAUUGUUUCUACCUUGAGCGUUGGAGUAUCUUUAUAGAUUUUUGCAGGUCUUGGCUUUGUACUCCUAACUCUUAACUCUACGUUUAUUAUGUUUUGCAUAAAAUUGUUUCUAACAUGAGCCUUGGAGUAUCUUUAUUGUUUUUUGCAGGUCUUGGCUUUGUAUUCCUAACUCUAACUCUAUAUUUAUUAUGUUUUGCAUAAAAUUGUUUCUAACUUUAGUGUUGGAUUAUCUUUAUUGUUUUUUUUGCAGGUCUUGGCUUUGUAUUCCUAACUCUAACUCUAUAUUUAUUACGUUUUGCAUAAAAAUGUUUCUAACUUGAGUGUUAGAGUAUCUUUAUUGUUUAAUGCAGGUCUUGGUUUUGUAUUCCUAACUCUAACUCUAACUUUAAUGCAGGUCUUGGUUUUGUUUCUAACUUGAGUGUUGGAGUAUCUUUAUUGUUUUUUGCAGGUCUUGGUUUUGUAUUCCUAACUCUAACUCUACGUUUAUUAUGUUUUGCAUAAAAUUGUUUCUAACUUGAGUGUUGGAGUAUCUUUGUUGUUUUUUGCAGGUCUUGGCUUUGUAUUCCUAACUCUAACUCUACGUUUAUUAUGUUUUGCAUGAAAUUGUUUCUGACUUGAGCCUUGGAGUAUCUUUGUUGUUUUUUGCAGGUCUUGGCUUUGUAUUCCUAAUUCUAACUCUAUGUUAAUUAACCCUUAACUCUAUGUUUAUUAUGUUUAUCUUUGUUGUUUUUUGCAGGUCUUGGCUUUGUAUUCCUAAUUCUAACUCUAUGUUAAUUAACCCUUAACUCUAGUUUAUUAUGUUUUGCAUAAAAUUGUUUCUAACUUGAGCGUCGGAGUAUCUUCCUUGUUUUUUUGCAGGUCUUGCCUUUGUAUUCUUAUGGCCAAUUCAAUUAGUAGAGUUGUUGAAACGGAAUGCUGGUGCCUCGCGGGGAACGUCAUCUGUUUGGCCUUUGAUCAGUUUGCCUCUAGGGCAUGUCUGACUUCAAAGGAUUCAAAUGAAGACAGAUCAGUCCUGUGAAUCAUGUACUAAUGAGAUCCUCAUCUUCCCUGAAGGAGGCUUCAUUUUAACUCCAAAGGUCUUGUCUGCUUAUUGGGUGGCCACUCGUCAGGGAGAACUUGUAAUGUGGAAUGCUGGUGCCUGGUAGAGAUUGCCUGGCAUUUGACCAGUCUGUUGUCAAGGCUUUUUAUGCAAAAGACGUGCCAGGAGAUUUAGCAGGAUGUGAAAAGUGCAAUGAUGCGGUGAGACUUGAUAAGCCUGGUGGUCCAUUGAGAGAUGAAAAUGAACAAUCGGUGGUUCCAGAGGUUCUUUGCCUUGCGUAGUUUUUCCUGAUGAAGCUCCGAGCAACAUUGUGCAACGAGUCUGAAGGCAAUGUCAAAGAGAUGCAAACCUAUUGGUAAAAUUGAGGAGGAUAUAUCCGCCACGAAUUCUGUUGUGGUUCACUAGAAGCUUACAUCAUGCCUUUCUGCUGCAAUCUCCUUGACUCCAUCAUCAAUAGUGAAUGAGAAAAAGAUGGAAUAGUGGUUGUAAAUUCUGACUGAGGAUGAUGUUGUGUGGGGGACAAUGGGUAGUGCCCGAAGAUAUGGUCCAAAAAAUUGAUGUUGAGGGGCUUCUCAUGUGCAGGAGAAGGCAGGCUGGUUUUUAAGAAUAUGGACCGUUUUUGUAGAAGUUUUAGGAUGUUUUUGAACAAUGCUAAGUUUAUUAUUAUGUAGUUAUUGUCAUUCUUUCUUUCUUGUAAAGAUGUGAUGUGAUCCGAAUAUAUGCAAGUUUUUUUUUAGCAGUAAUGUUAAACAUUUUGCUUGGAAUUCAACACGGAGAAUUGAUCUAAAAAA